UGCCUAGAAUAAUCCCAUUUUUGGCUCAUCCGCCCAAAAUAAUCCCAUCUUACGAUUAUUUUUGAAUAAUCCGUCUUUUGAUAUCAAUCCGCUCAAAAUGGUCCCAGGUGACUGGUAACCUAUUAAAUAGGUUUUUUUUUGGGUUUUAAAGUACAUGUGUCACCACAUGAUUCAUCUAAAAUUAAAAAAAAAUGAAUUAAAAAAAAAGAAACCGCCAGCCCGGCCAGCCAUUCCCUAGCCCCAGCUCAACCCUUGAAGCCGUCGUUAACCGGAGGGGCGAAAAACGUUACCGGGGACGGGGAGUGGGUCUGAAAUCUAGACGGGGGAAGAGGAGGCAGGUCGAAAUCGGGGCGGGGAAGGGGACGGAGGCCGGAAUCAGGACCAAGAAGGGGAAGGGGAAGGGGACUGGGAUCGGGACGGGAAAGGGGAGAACUGGCCGGAAUUGCGACGAGAAAGGGGAUAAGUGGCUGGAAUUGCGAUGGGAAAGGGGAUAAGUGUUCGGCGCGGCGUUCCAGCGCUGGUAGGCAGGCAAGGGGUCGGGCGGGGAUCGGAGAUGAUGUUAUGGCUCGCCGGCGGUGCUUUAGACGUUGCUUGGGUUUCGUGAGGGAGAGAGGCGGAUUGGUGGUUCAGGGGAGGGGUUCAUGAGCGUUGCCAGCGCUGGCUCUGACGCUGGGGUUAGGGGUCUGGGUGGCUGAAGCCACGGGGCAAGGAAGGCUUGGGCUGGUGGUGGUUUUUUAAAUAAUUAAUUUUAUUUAUUUUUUCUUUUUAAAUAAUUAACUUUUUUAAAAAAAUUAUUCAUGUCAAAUAACUUGUUAUGAUUAGUUGGAACCAUUUUAAGCGGAUUAGAUAUAAAAGUCGAAUUAUUUAAAAAUAACCUAAAGGAGGAAUUAUUUUUAACGGACCCUUGCAUGCAAUUUUUUCUUUUAACAAAAGCCCUUCGAAUUUUAGCGGCACUUUCUUACAGUAAUUCUGUGUAAAAUGCUGAAAUUGUGUUCUAAUGGCGUCCAAUUCCGGACCCAUUUCUCUCUCCACCUCAAACGCUUGUUUCUAUACUCAACAUCUACUGCAACUGAAAAAUCUCCCUCUUCUAUGAUGGAUUUCAUGGUUAAAUCUCUGGGUUUUUCAAGGGAAGAAGCAGCUAUUUCCUGGAGUAAGGUGAGUAACUCAAACGUAUUAAAUCCACUCAAAACCCUCAUUUAGUUGUUGAUUUCUUGAAACAACGAGGAUUUAGCAAUACCCAGAUGAAAAGACUUGUAUUUUCUUUGCCAAAUUUGCUGAAAUGUAGUGUUGAUAGAACCCUAAUUCCCAAAUUUAAAGCUUUAGAAGAAUUGGGUAUUUUUGGUUCUGAUUUAGCUGAUAUUGUUGCUUCAAAUUCUUCUAUUUUAAGAAGGGAUUUUACCAAUCGGAUUAUACCCAUGAUUAGUUAUGUGAAAUCAAUUGUGGGUGAUGACAAAAAAUUCUUCAAACUUUUGAAGAGGUCAUACUGGUUGAUGACUGUUGAUAUUGCUGCAGGAUUACAGCCUAAUAUAGAGCUGUUUAAAAAGUAUGGUUUCACUAAUGAAAGAAUAUUGUAUCUUUUAGUUCAAUAUACUGAGAUUUUUGGGCAUGAUCCUAAAAGGUUUAAAGGGAUUUUAAAGAGGGUCCAUGAGGAGUUUGGGAUCCCUCCCAAGUUGUCCCAGUUUUCUGAUGUUGUUGUGUUGCUAGCUUCGUUGAGUGAGAAAACCCUGGAAACUAAGUAUGGGAUUUUUACGAACUUUGGAUGGACUGAUUCUGAUAUUAAGGUUAUGAUGAGGAAGAACAACCGCGGUGUUUGAUGUUGUCGGAGAAAACAAUUCGUGUGCGGUUGAAUUUUUUCAUGAACGAGUUGGGAUGCCAACCAGAGUACUUAGCAAAUCGUUCUUAUGUGAUAUCAUAUAGUAUGACAGAUAGGGUUUUGCCCCGCUAUACUAUAUUAAAGGUCUUGGAAGAGAGGAAACUUAUCAAUGUUAAAGUGGAAAUGGUGACGGCUGUAUGCAGCUGUGAGUCUUUAUUCUUAAACAAGUUUGUGCUACCCUACAAAAAUGAGUUACCUGAGCUCUGUACAACUUAUAUUUGUUGGGUAAAAAGGACUUCUACUACUUAGAUGAGGGAAUUUUGACUGAUCAACUGACCUGCUUUAAGAGCUGUCAUCAUUUGUUUAGGGGGUGAAGAUACAAAGAAGGAAUGUUGCUCUAUUCUUCCUAGUUACGAGUAGAACAGAAAAAUGAAAAAUUCUGUUUGAUUUUCAUUUUUCAAGCUAGGGUGGCUAAUAUAAGAAGCUUCAUCAAAAUAAUAUUCAUGCCAGAAAGGUGUGGUAGCGCUGGCUAUCAUUAAGAAUUGAAGACACUUUUAGCAAAUGGUAUAUGACUAUAUGAGGUGGAGUGAACCUCCAUUCUGGUUAGUGGUAGUGUUGCAAUCUGUCAGCUGGUGGUGAUUAGAGGAACAUUUUUGAACACUUUUGUGAUCUGUAAAUUUUUACUCUUAUGUUACUGUGUAUCAGAGUGGCUGUUUAAGAAAUUACUUGAUUCAACUUCUCUCUAAAGUUAUACAAAAGCAUUGUCAUAUUGAUUGAGGAUUGAGAACCUAACCAAUUAUUAGUUAGGAUUCUCCUGAAGAAGACUAGGGGUCAGGUACCCUAGAUUCUUCUCUGCCGAUUUUUGAUAUUAUAACAUGAUCUAUCUUGUAUUUCUUCAGGGCCAGCUGAAAAUUUUUAUUAUUUUUGCUGAAACUUGUUACAGGGAAUGUUGUGAGAUAUAAUACAACAUACUUUGUGUUUGAUUCUAUGAAGAGAAGAUUGAGGAAUAGUAAACUUUUGUGUGCUGCUUACUGCUGGAAUUAUGUUUCUGACAGUGGAGAUUCUACAUGGUCGCUGUCCUUCAGCAAAGAGAAGACCAUCGUUGUGGACUUGAUUACAGAUAUACGGAGGAGGUAGAACUAGUCUUAUCUUCCAGGUAAUCUCCACACCCUGUUCUACGAUAUUAUUUAGCUAAACUGCUAGUGUUAGUGUUACC
Long non-coding RNA from Chenopodium quinoa (quinoa), 3029 nucleotides. RefSeq lists it as uncharacterized. Lineage: Eukaryota; Viridiplantae; Streptophyta; Magnoliopsida; Caryophyllales; Amaranthaceae. The record is from RefSeq and is a predicted model, not a curated record. The transcript is spliced from 3 exons.